GAGUUGAUCUUGCUACGGUCGUCAGGUGCUUCAGACAAUGACGGACCUUGCCGAGGAGGCAAACAGUGCAACUGGUCAAAAAAUCCGCGAGCUUUAUUAUGACAUCUUGAACUGCAAGG
RNAcentral lists this non-coding RNA (119 nucleotides) under Karenia brevis. Lineage: Eukaryota; Dinophyceae; Gymnodiniales; Kareniaceae. The record is from RNAcentral.